GACGAACGCUGGCGGCGUGCUUAACACAUGCAAGUCGAACGAUGAACCCGGAGCUUGCUCUGGGGGAUUAGUGGCGAACGGGUGAGUAACACGUGAGUAACCUGCCCUGGACUCUGGGAUAAGCGUUGGAAACGACGUCUAAUACCGGAUAGGACCUUGGAUCGCAUGAUCUGGGGUGGAAAGUUUUUUCGGUCUGGGAUGGACUCGCGGCCUAUCAGCUUGUUGGUGAGGUAAUGGCUCACCAAGGCGUCGACGGGUAGCCGGCCUGAGAGGGUGACCGGCCACACUGGGACUGAGACACGGCCCAGACUCCUACGGGAGGCAGCAGUGGGGAAUAUUGCACACUGGGCGAAAGCCUGAUGCAGCAACGCCGCGUGCGGGAUGACGGCCUUCGGGUUGUAAACCGCUUUUAGUAGGGAAGAAGGGCUUCGGCUUGACGGUACCUGCAGAAAAAGGACCGGCUAACUACGUG
Molecule: ribosomal RNA, 472 nt
Filed under: uncultured bacterium
Lineage: Bacteria
Description: partial 16S ribosomal RNA
Rfam family: Bacterial small subunit ribosomal RNA
Source: RNAcentral